GCUGGGUGUAGUGGUGUGUGUCCGUAGUCUCAGUGACUUGGGAGGCUGAGGCAGGAGGAUCACUUGAGCCCAGGAAGUUGAGGCUGUAGUGAGCAAUGAUUGCCACUGCACUCCAGCCUGGGUGACAGAGCGGGAUCCUGUCUCUC
This is an unclassified non-coding RNA of Pongo abelii (Sumatran orangutan), 146 nucleotides long. It matches the Rfam family "Metazoan signal recognition particle RNA". From Rfam's summary of the family: The signal recognition particle (SRP) is a universally conserved ribonucleoprotein. It is involved in the co-translational targeting of proteins to membranes. The eukaryotic SRP consists of a 300-nucleotide 7S RNA and six proteins: SRPs 72, 68, 54, 19, 14, and 9. The record is from Ensembl. NCBI's taxonomy places the organism in Eukaryota, Metazoa, Chordata, Mammalia, Primates, Hominidae.